Molecule: non-coding RNA, 24 nt
Filed under: Mus musculus (house mouse)
Lineage: Eukaryota; Metazoa; Chordata; Mammalia; Rodentia; Muridae
Source: RNAcentral
UAGAACUCAAAGUUCUCCUGAGGU